UAACUUACUCUAAAUCUAUACGGCUUCUU
RNAcentral lists this non-coding RNA (29 nucleotides) under Rattus norvegicus (Norway rat). The record is from RNAcentral. Lineage: Eukaryota; Metazoa; Chordata; Mammalia; Rodentia; Muridae.